Molecule: ribosomal RNA, 253 nt
Filed under: uncultured bacterium
Lineage: Bacteria
Description: partial 16S ribosomal RNA
Rfam family: Bacterial small subunit ribosomal RNA
Source: RNAcentral
AACGUAGGACACGAGCGUUAUCCGGAGUUACUGGGCGUAAAGGGCGGGUAGGCGGCUUGAUAAGCUUGGUGUGAAAGCCUUCGGCUUAACCGAGGGAGGACACUGGUGACUGUCAGGCUUGAGGCAGAUAGAGGGGUGUAGAAUUCCGGGUGUAGUGGUGAAAUGCUUAGAGAUUACAUGGAAUACCAAUUGCGAAGGCAGGUUACUACUAAUGGAUUGACGCUGAUGGACGAAAGCGUGGGUAGCGAACAGG